CGGAGGCAGCAGUGGGGAAUUUUGGACAAUGGGGGCAACCCUGAUCCAGCCAUGCCGCGUGCGGGAAGAAGGCCUUCGGGUUGUAAACCGCUUUUAGCCGGGACGAAAGGGGCACGGAUAACACCCGUGUCUGUUGACGGUACCGGCGGAAUAAGCACCGGCUAACUACGUGCCAGCAGCCGCGGUAAUACGUAGGGUGCGAGCGUUAAUCGGAAUUACUGGGCGUAAAGCGUGCGCAGGCGGUUCGUUGUGUCGGCGGUGAAAGCCCCGGGCUUAACCUGGGAAUGGCCGUUGAAACUGGCGAACUGGAGUGUGGCAGAGGGGGGUGGAAUUCCGCGUGUAGCAGUGAAAUGCGUAGAGAUGCGGAGGAACACCGAUGGCGAAGGCAGCCCCCUGGGCUAACACUGACGCUCAGGCACGAAAGCGUGGGGAGCAAACAGGAUUAGAUACCCGGGUAGUCC
Molecule: ribosomal RNA, 461 nt
Filed under: uncultured bacterium
Lineage: Bacteria
Description: bacterial SSU rRNA
Rfam family: Bacterial small subunit ribosomal RNA
Source: RNAcentral